UUGUGUUGGAGGAUAGAGCUCACUUGUUCAGUCAGAAAGACCUUUUUAGGCACAUGUGUCCUAGAUUUUCAUUUUUGGGUACAAAGGUCUUUAAGAAAUUUGGCAUAGGAUGGAACUUGUUUUAUGGCAUCAAGGAGAGGGAGGUUGAUUUUGACUUGUUUGAAGAUCUCCAUUAUUUCUUCCAACGAAGUUCCUUUCAUGCCAAAGGGAGAAGGUGCUUUCAGACAUUAAGG
RNAcentral lists this long non-coding RNA (233 nucleotides) under Phoenix dactylifera (date palm). Its description in RNAcentral is "long non-coding RNA (PDAC_LNC012456)". The record is from RNAcentral. Lineage: Eukaryota; Viridiplantae; Streptophyta; Magnoliopsida; Arecales; Arecaceae.